This is a long non-coding RNA of Heterocephalus glaber (naked mole-rat), 1549 nucleotides long. The record is from Ensembl. Lineage: Eukaryota; Metazoa; Chordata; Mammalia; Rodentia; Bathyergidae.
GAAGAACCCUCCUUCCUCUGAUAACAAGACUGAGCGAUAAGAGAGGAAUUGCGCAGUAGAAGUUUACUCAGAGUGGAGCACAUUCUAGAAUCUCUCAUGAAUUCCCAAGAGUCAGAUGUCUGCAGUGGGCAGGAAGAAAUGGUUUCCCUGAAAAAGGCAGUGCAGCCUGGUGGAGGAAUGCUCUGCGCUGGCCAAGCAGGGCCCUGCUUCAGCUGCCGACUCCACAGUCCUCAGAAGCCAGCAUGAAAUUGAUCCAGCUUUCUUAAACUAGUCCACCAAAGGGCAUCAGAUCCUAAAGGCCCAAGACUUCUCUGGGAACCUCAGGAGGAAGGGAGUCAAGGGUCCACUUCUGCCAAGCACUCUCUCAGUCCUGAUGCUGCCUUUGGACAGGAAUAGACCGCAAUGAAGGAGGGGCUUCAUGGGGCUGAGGGCACAGAAGGCAGGGAGUAUGAGGGAGUAUGACUGCUCUGAGAGUCUAGAAUUUCUUGGCAUGGGAUCCCACGGACACUGCACCCUCUUGGCCUUGAUCUACUAUAUGGAAAGACAGGUUUAGGAAAAUCAGAGGAGGAACUGAGACCCAGAGCUGAAGUAACUUAAGCAACAUUACACAGCUAGAAUGAUCAGGAUUCAACCCAGGACUCUUGAUGGCUCGCUAACUGUUUCUCCUAAUAAAAAAUAAAGUGAAGAAAGCACAGUAAGCUGUUGUGGAAAUCACCCUGGACCUGAGGUCUAAAGCACUUCCAUUUAACAGCUUAGUAACCUUGGGCAAGUUAUUUGGCUACUUUGAAUUAUAAGAUGCUUGCUUAGAAAGUGGGGAUAGUCACUCCUUUAUUUCAUAGUACGAGAUUAACGGGGAUAAUGUAUAUGAAGUGCUUGGAAUUGAUGCUUGGUACAGAAUAAGUGCUCAGUAAAUGUUAGGCGUGGUUGCUAUUGUUAUUAUCACUGCUACUAUUGUCACUAGCAGCUUCCUUCUUGGCUUGUUGCAAUGCUCAAGUGAGAUAAUGUCUGGGGAAGUGCUGUUUGCUGUGCACCUGUCAGUAAUCCUGUCCCCUUUACUACAAUUCUAGCAACCUCAGGGGAAGAGUUAUUUGUGAAACUCUGGCCCCAUUCCUCCCCAAAAUGGUUCAGAUUCUUUGCUCUGCAGCCAACGCUGAUGACGAACGAGGGUUUGACUUGGUGCCCACUGUGAAUGACGUCCUUCAGGAGAUCUCCAAGAACUGCAGCAAAUGCUUUCCUGAGCUUAUUUUAGCAUUAGAGGGACCUCGAAGGAGGAUGUCAACAUUUGGCUUCAUCAUUUGGAGGUGGUCCCGUGCAAUUAAUGUGGUUUGACGCGAUCUUUUUUCCCCCUCAUCAUCCUAAGAAGAGAUACCAAGGAGUGGAUCAAGGAGUGGUUGGCAGACACAGCUCUACAUUCAAAGGAAUUCUAGUGUUGGUUAUUAGUAAUUUUGAGAGUAAUAUAUGUUCAUUGUAAAAAUAUUUGGAAAAUGCACAAAAAUAUGAAGGAGAACAAUUUAAAAUAUCCAUAAUGCAGUCACUCAGAAAUAAAGAC